Apteryx owenii (little spotted kiwi) is the source of this 375-nucleotide long non-coding RNA. The record is from Ensembl. Lineage: Eukaryota; Metazoa; Chordata; Aves; Apterygiformes; Apterygidae.
CUCGUUCAGCCUGACUCGACGUAUACCCCAUCAAAAUGACUGACACCAGAAGAGAUCUGCUGCUGAAUACGCUUGAAGCAAACAAGACGCGCAGCUUAGGUGAAGUCUGCCUGACCACGCUUGUAAAGGACCCGGACCCACAGGGGAGCGCUUGCAUCCUUUGCGAGCCAGAGACAUCAAGCUCACACUGCUGCUACCUCUGUGCUGCAGUUAGGACAAAGUCCCCAGGAGACGAGAGGACCUGAGUAGCCACUUUCGCAACUGAGCUGGAAGACAGGCAUCUCUGUGCUGCAUCUCAAUCUCAGAAGCGAACCAACAAACCUUACGCGUGAAGGUAAUGAAAGCUACUUAAAGAGUUUUAAUAACACACCGGUG